This 1056-nucleotide ribosomal RNA is filed under the name uncultured bacterium. RNAcentral's name for it is "bacterial SSU rRNA". It matches the Rfam family "Bacterial small subunit ribosomal RNA", at positions 78 to 1131 of the family's 1533-position model. The record is from RNAcentral.
GCUUGCACUUUGAUGACGAGUGGCGCACGGGUGCGUAACGCGUAUAGAACCUACCCUGUACAGGGGGAUAGCCCAGAGAAAUUUGGAUUAAUACCCCGUGGUAACUAUAAAUGGCAUCAUUUAUAGUUUAAAGUUUUCGGACGGUACAGGAUGGCUAUGCGUCCUAUUAGUUAGAUGGUGAGGUAACGGCUCACCAUGGCAUCGAUAGGUAGGGGCCCUGAGAGGGGGAUCCCCCACACUGGUACUGAGACACGGACCAGAUUCCUACGGGAGGCAGCAGUGAGGAAUAUUGGACAAUGGGCGUAAGCCUGAUCCAGCCAUGCCGCGUGCAGGAAGACGGCCCUAUGGGUUGUAAACUGCUUUUAUACGGGAAGAAUAAGGGACACGAGUGUCCUGGUGACGGUACCGUAAGAAUAAGGACCGGCUAACUCCGUGCCAGCAGCCGCGGUAAUACGGAGGGUCCGAGCGUUAUCCGGAAUUAUUGGGUUUAAAGGGUCCGCAGGCGGGCAAUUAAGUCAGGGGUGAAAUGGUACGGCUCAACCGUAGCACUGCCCUUGAUACUGGUUGUCUUGAGUCAUAGUGAAGUGGCCGGAAUAUGUAGUGUAGCGGUGAAAUGCAUAGAUAUUACAUAGAACACCGAUUGCGAAGGCAGGUCACUAACUAUCGACUGACGCUGAUGGACGAAAGCGUGGGGAGCGAACGGGAUUAGAUACCCCGGUAGUCCACGCCGUAAACGAUGGAUACUAGCUGUCCGCUGCCUUGAGCAGUGGGCGGCCCAGCGAAAGUGAUAAGUAUCCCACCUGGGGAGUACGUUCGCAAGAAUGAAACUCAAAGGAAUUGACGGGGGCCCGCACAAGCGGUGGAGCAUGUGGUUUAAUUCGAUGAUACGCGAGGAACCUUACCAGGGCUUAAAUGCAUAAUGACAGGUCUAGAGAUAGACUUUUCUUCGGACAUUUUGCAAGGUGCUGCAUGGUUGUCGUCAGCUCGUGCCGUGAGGUGUCAGGUUAAGUCCUAUAACGAGCGCAACCCCUGCCGUCAGUUGCCAGCAAGUAAAGU